GCGGAUCAUUAAAGUGGAGACUGGCGGCAAAUGUUCAGGGCCGAAAAGUGAAGGAUAUCAAGCAAAACUGGCAAGCCAUCAGUGCAGCAGCCACCGAAACAAAGGAAAGAUUGACAAUCACGAAGUUUGGUGGCCGGUCGUUGGGGAAGACAGUUUUGACGUGGAAAAUUUGCAUCAUGACCUUGAUCUGACGAUCUCUCCGCGUCAGAAACCGAAUACUGGCGGCACCAGCCUCAAAGUAGCCAGAUUUCGUUGCCCAACGGUGGGCACCCGCAAAUCACGAUCGCCGUCUCCGUUGAAAAAAAAAUGAAUCGAUUUGUACGAGGCGGGAGCAAGCAUCUUCGGUAGCGCGUUCGAAUAGUCAAGACUCUUAGACGUUUGAACAUUGGACGUCAAGUGUGUGACAGCAUGAUUCACUUAACAGCCAACCGUGGAAUGUUGCCC
This is a long non-coding RNA of Paramacrobiotus metropolitanus, 444 nucleotides long. RefSeq lists it as uncharacterized. The transcript has 3 exons. Lineage: Eukaryota; Metazoa; Tardigrada; Eutardigrada; Parachela; Macrobiotidae. The record is from RefSeq and is a predicted model, not a curated record.